Molecule: long non-coding RNA, 1548 nt
Organism: Macaca fascicularis (crab-eating macaque)
Lineage: Eukaryota; Metazoa; Chordata; Mammalia; Primates; Cercopithecidae
Source: Ensembl
UGUGAUCGGCUCACUGCAACCUCCCCGUCCUGGGUUCGAGUGAUUCUCCUGCCUCAGCCUCCCAAGUAGCUGGGAUUACAGGCAUGUGCCACCAUGGCCAGCUAAGUUUUGUAUUUUUAGUAGAGACAGAGUUUCACCAUAUUGGCAAUGCUGGUCUUGAACUCCUGACCUCAGGUGAUCCACCCACCUCAGCCUCCCAAAGUGCUGGGAUUACAGGCGUGAGCCAACGUGUUCGGCCUGCCAGUUGAACGUGCUCAAAUGCAUAUUCCAAUUUUCUGGAAGAAUGGAACCAAUGUGUCUUGAGAGCUCAUUUCAUGUCUGUAUGUUCACAGACAUUGUCUAAUUUGAUCCUCACCAGUGCUCACUAUCAAAUGAAAUCUAGAGCUUACAAGAACAAAGCAGGCCGAGAAUGCCCCCAAACCAUCCCAGACACUGGACACCAUCACCAUGGAUAGUGCCUAAGUCAAGGGCAUUGAUUGGAACCACAGAAGUCAGAGCACCUUCCACACAUCUGUCACAUAACGUCUCAUGCCAUUAGUGAGCGAUCCUGACAGGAUGCAAGGCGUCUCCCUAGCCCCUCUGGUCUGCAGCGCUCUGUGUGCUGUGCCUCUACUGGCUGACCCAGCAUGGUGAGAACCUGGAAGGCAUGGGUUUGAGGACUGGACUUACAGAUCUCUGGCAGUGUGACCUACCGACAGGCCAUGUUCCCUGUCUCGGCUGAGCUGUCCCUUCUGCAACAUGAAGUCAUAAUCACAGCCUACCCAUUCACUGUGACCUUGUGGAAACCAAGCCUUAUGGAGAGUUAAGGUGCAUUAUGGAUGGAAAGUGCCAUACAAGAGUACCUUCUUUCCACUAGCAAAAUCUUGACUUGGCUGGUGCUGUUCUAGGAUAGACUGCUUUUCCUUUCCUUGGCCUCCUGCACUGAGUUUGCCUUUCUCCCCCCAGCCCCUUGUCUCAGCAUCAUGGGCUCCUCAGGAGCCCCCCUCACAGCUCCCCAACUGCUAAUGUUCACUUCUGUGGAAAAUGAUAGGUGACAAGUUGCUCUCGGAGAUGCCCACGAUCAGAUAAGCCAGGAGGGGAAACGAGUUCUUCUGGAAGGGAAACAGGCUGUACUAUGGAAAUUAAAUAUUCCUUAGAGGAGAGCAGGAAACUUUAGAUCCCAGUCACGGGUUUCUGAGGAAGGCUCACCAGAGAAACUGGGGUAUCCCCGGGGCGCGGGCUGGGAAGGAUGGAAGCUGUUACUCCUGACAUCUGCAACUGUCAUUUGGAGCCUGGGUCUGGGCUCUGUGUUCCCCCACCCCCACCCCAACACUGGCAACCUGAUCAAAGUCAUCCUUCCCCUUCUCCCCCUGUGGGGCCCCCAGUGCCCUUCUAUUCAUUCAGCAAUCAGGGCGCAUGUGCUUUCCAACUCAGUGUCCUGAUAUGUAUCUGCAAGCAGGGAUGUGAGAGCUUCCUUCUGCCAUUCCCAACAUGGGGAAACUGAGUCACAAAAGGGCUGAGGCGAGCGGUCACAUGAAUGCCACUCUGAACAGAGCUCUGGAUAUAUUC